CCUACGGGUGGCAGCAGUGAGGAAUAUUGGUCAAUGGACGAGAGUCUGAACCAGCCAAGUAGCGUGAAGGAUGACUGCCCUAUGGGUUGUAAACUUCUUUUAUAUGGGACUAAAAUGUUCCACGUGUGGGAUUUUGUAUGUACCAUAUGACUAAGGAUCGGCUAACUCCGUGCCAGCAGCCGCGGUAAUACGGAGGAUCCGAGCGUUAGCCGGAUUUAUUGGGUUUAAAGGGAACGUAGGUGGAUUGUUAAGUUAGUUGUGAAAUUUUGCGGCUCAACCGUGAAAUUGCAGUUGAAACUGGCAGUCUUGAGUACAGUAGAGGUGGGCGGAAUUCGUGGUGUAGCGGUGAAAUGCUUAGAUAUCACGAAGAACUCCGAUUGCGAAGGCAGCUCACUGGACUGCAACUGACACUGAGGCUCGAAAGUGUGGGUAUCAAACAGGAUUAGAUACCCGUGUAGUC
This 460-nucleotide ribosomal RNA is filed under the name uncultured bacterium. RNAcentral's name for it is "partial 16S ribosomal RNA". It matches the Rfam family "Bacterial small subunit ribosomal RNA", at positions 338 to 795 of the family's 1533-position model. The record is from RNAcentral.